UUACUGAGUUUACGCUCUAUAACCCUUUGUGAACAUACGUAUAACUGUUGCUUCGGCGGGUAGGGUCUCCGUGACCCUCCCGGCCUCCCGCCCCCGGGCGGGUCGGCGCCCGCCGGAGGAUAACCAAACUCUGAUUUAACGACGUUUCUUCUGAGUGGUACAAGCAAAUAAUCAAAACUUUUAACAACGGAUCUCUUGGUUCUGGCAUCGAUGAAGAACGCAGCGAAAUGCGAUAAGUAAUGUGAAUUGCAGAAUUCAGUGAAUCAUCGAAUCUUUGAACGCACAUUGCGCCCGCCAGCAUUCUGGCGGGCAUGCCUGUUCGAGCGUCAUUUCAACCCUCAAGCUCUGCUUGGUGUUGGGGCCCUACAGCUGAUGUAGGCCCUCAAAGGUAGUGGCGGACCCUCCCGGAGCCUCCUUUGCGUAGUAACUUUACGUCUCGCACUGGGAUCCGGAGGGACUCUUGCCGUAAAACCCCCAAUUUUCCAAAGGUUGACCUCGGAUCAGGUAGGAAUACCCGCUGAACUUAAGCAUAUCAAUAAGCGGAGGAAAAGAAACCAACAGGGAUUG
RNAcentral lists this ribosomal RNA (567 nucleotides) under fungal endophyte. Its description in RNAcentral is "eukaryotic LSU rRNA". The stretch from base 176 to 329 matches the Rfam family "5.8S ribosomal RNA". Lineage: Eukaryota; Fungi. The record is from RNAcentral.